GCCUAGAUAGCUCAGUCGGUUAGAGCACAGUGCUGGUAAUGCCAAGGCUGCGGGUUCAAUCCCCCUAUGGGACA
Molecule: non-coding RNA, 74 nt
Organism: Podarcis lilfordi (Lilford's wall lizard)
Lineage: Eukaryota; Metazoa; Chordata; Lepidosauria; Squamata; Lacertidae
Source: the annotation of a GenBank genome assembly